AUGCUGUGAUGACUCAAUAUAACACAUCAUGCUGACAAACACCGUGGUGAAGCAUAAGCUCUGAGCAUA
Molecule: small nucleolar RNA, 69 nt
Organism: Epinephelus fuscoguttatus (brown-marbled grouper)
Lineage: Eukaryota; Metazoa; Chordata; Actinopteri; Perciformes; Serranidae
Product: small nucleolar RNA SNORD63
Exons: 1
Source: RefSeq, a predicted model, not a curated record